RNAcentral lists this ribosomal RNA (547 nucleotides) under bacterium SVAL1.46. RNAcentral describes it as "bacterial SSU rRNA". It matches the Rfam family "Bacterial small subunit ribosomal RNA", at positions 57 to 651 of the family's 1533-position model. The record is from RNAcentral.
GCAGUCGAACGAGACCUUCGGGUCUAGUGGCGCACGGGUGCGUAACGCGUGGGAACCUGCCUUUAGGUUCGGAAUAACAGUGAGAAAUUACUGCUAAUACCGAAUAAUGUCUUCGGACCAAAGAUUUAUCGCCUUUAGAUGGGCCCGCGUUGGAUUAGCUAGUUGGUGGGGUAAAGGCCUACCAAGGCGACGAUCCAUAGCUGGUCUGAGAGGAUGAUCAGCCACACUGGGACUGAGACACGGCCCAGACUCCUACGGGAGGCAGCAGUGGGGAAUAUUGGACAAUGGGCGAAAGCCUGAUCCAGCAAUGCCGCGUGAGUGAUGAAGGCCUUAGGGUUGUAAAGCUCUUUUACCAGGGAUGAUAAUGACAGUACCUGGAGAAUAAGCUCCGGCUAACUCCGUGCCAGCAGCCGCGGUAAUACGGAGGGAGCUAGCGUUGUUCGGAAUUACUGGGCGUAAAGCGCACGUAGGCGGCUUUUUAAGUCAGGGGUGAAAUCCCGGAGCUCAACUCCCGAACUGCCCUUGAAACUGGGAAGCUAGAAUCUUG